CCUACGGGUGGCAGCAGUGAGGAAUAUUGGUCAAUGGGCGGAAGCCUGAACCAGCCAAGUAGCGUGCGGGAUGAAGGCCCUCCGGGUCGUAAACCGCUUUUGCACGGGGAUCACACCCUCCACUUGUGGAGGUCUGCAGGUACCGUGCGAAUAAGGGCCGGCAAAUUCCGUGCCAGCAGCCGCGGUAAUACGGAAGGACCGAGGGUUAUCCGGAGUCAUUGGGCUUAAUGGGAGAGUAGGCGGGCGUUCAAGUCAGCGGUAAAAGCGCGCGGCUCAACCGCGGCACGCAGUUGACACUGGACGGCUUGAGUUCACAACAGGCAGGCGGAAUUCGUGGUGUAGCGGUGAAAUG
Molecule: ribosomal RNA, 352 nt
Filed under: uncultured bacterium
Lineage: Bacteria
Description: partial 16S ribosomal RNA
Rfam family: Bacterial small subunit ribosomal RNA
Source: RNAcentral